RNAcentral lists this ribosomal RNA (1366 nucleotides) under metagenome. RNAcentral describes it as "bacterial LSU rRNA". It matches the Rfam family "Bacterial large subunit ribosomal RNA", at positions 1511 to 2915 of the family's 2925-position model. The record is from RNAcentral.
UUGAAAUUGAGAAAGCAUGCCGGCUGAAAGUGGCAGAAGGAGGCGGAGCAAUCCAAAUCCGGUCUUUUGAUCCGACCACCGAGAAAAGCGUUGUAGCCCUUUCCAUGGCCGCCCGUACCGCAAACCGACACAGGUGGGUGGGUAGAAUAUACCAAGGCGAAAGAGUGAAACCUCGUUAAGGAACUCUGCAAUCUAGUCCCGUAACUUCGGAAGAAGGGAUGCCCUCCUCGAAGGGUCGCAGUGAAAGGGGACAACCGAUUGUUUAUCAAAAACACAGCAUUGUGCCAAGACGAAAGUCCAAGUAUACGAUGUGACACGUGACCAAUGCGGAAAGAUUAAGGCAAGGGGUUAGCCGCAAGGCGAAGCUCUGAACCUAAGUCCCCGUGAAUGUCGGCCGUAACAAUAACGGUCCUAAGGUAGCGAAAUUCCUUGUCGGGUAAGUUCCGACCUGCACGAAUCGUGUAACGAGUUGUCCGCUGUCUCAACGAGGGGCUCAGUGAAAUUGUAUUAGCAGUGUAGAUGCUGCUUACCCGCAGAAGGACGGAAAGACCCUAUGCACCUUAACUGUAAGCUGUCACUGGUCGUUUGGUUUCCAUGCUUAGCGUAAGUGGAAGACUUUGAAGCGUAACUUUCGGGUUACGCAGAGUCGUCAAUGAAACACCACCCUUGGGUAUUGAACGAUCUAACCGCAGUCCAUGAAUCUGGAUGUGGGACCAUGUCAGCCGGUCAGUUUUACUGGGGCGGUAUCCUCCCAAAGAGUAACGGAGGAGCGCGAAGGUUGGCUCAGCGUGGUUGGUAAUCACGUGUUGAGUGCAUUGGCAUAAGCCAGCCUAACUGUGAGACCUACAAGUCGAACAGAUGCGAAAGCAGGCCAAAGUGAUCCGGUGGUUUAAUGUGGAAUUGCCAUCGCUUAACGGACAAAAGGUACGCUAGGGAUAACAGGCUGAUUUCAUCCAAGAGUUCAUAUCGACGAUGAAGUUUGGCACCUCGAUGUCGGCUCGUCGCAUCCUGGGGCUGGAGAAGGUCCCAAGGGUCCGGCUGUUCGCCGGUUAAAGCGGCACGCGAGCUGGGUUCAGAACGUCGCGAGACAGUUCGGUCCUCUAUCCUCUGUGGGCGCAGGAAAGUUGAGGGGUUCAAUUCCUAGUACGAGAGGACCGGAAUUGACGCACCUCUGGUGUUCCAGUUGUUCUGUCAAGAGCAUCGCUGGGCAGCUAUGUGCGGAAGGGAUAAGCGCUGAAAGCAUCUAAGUGCCAAGCCCAUCCCAAGAUAAGCUUUCCCUGAAGGAUCGUGGAAGACUACCACGUUGAUAGGCCACGGGUGCAAGCGCAGUAAUGCGUUCAGCUUAGUGGUACUAAUCAUCCGUUAA